GUGUCAGCCGCCGCGGUAAUACGAAGGGUGCAAGCGUUGUUCGGAAUUAUUGGGCGUAAAGCGCACGUAGGCGGCCUUGUAAGUCUCACUGUGAAAGUCCGGGGCUCAACCCCGGGAUGCCAGGGGAUACUGCGAGGCUGGAGACAAGCAGAGGUUGGUAGAAUUCCGGGUGUAGCGGUGGAAUGCGUAGAGAUCCGGAGGAAUACCAGAGGCGAAGGCGGCCAACUGGGCUUGUUCUGACGCUGAGGUGCGAAAGCGUGGGGAGCGAACAGGAUUAGAUACCCUGGUAGUCC
Molecule: ribosomal RNA, 293 nt
Filed under: uncultured bacterium
Lineage: Bacteria
Description: partial 16S ribosomal RNA
Rfam family: Bacterial small subunit ribosomal RNA
Source: RNAcentral